RNAcentral lists this unclassified non-coding RNA (274 nucleotides) under Hevea brasiliensis (rubber tree). Lineage: Eukaryota; Viridiplantae; Streptophyta; Magnoliopsida; Malpighiales; Euphorbiaceae. The record is from RNAcentral.
GAAUUUUACGGAGUUUCACUGAAAAUUUACAGAUUUUGUGCAAUAAAACUGAGAUUCAAAUUGAUGAUAAGAGGAAUUUAAGCCAGAAUAGGCGUUAAUUAAGAAAGUAAUUAACAAUUAAACAAACUUUUAAGGAAAAGGUCUAUGAUGAAAAUUUUUACCAUUUUUUGCUCUUUCUUUUCAACAAGCAUAAAACAGAUCAAGAGCCCUUGGAACUCUUAAAGAAAUUAAAUGGAAAAAUGAUGGAUAUUAACCCAGAUAUGAUUGGCCAAAC